CCUACGGGAGGCAGCAGUGGGGAAUAUUGGACAAUGGAGGAAACUCUGACCCAGCGACGCCGCGUGCGGGAUGAAGGCCUUCGGGUUGUAAACCGCUUUCAGUAGGGAAGAAGCGAAAGUGACGGUACCUACAAAAGAAGCACCGGCUAACUAUGUGCCAGCAGCCGCGGUAAUACAUAGGGUGCAAGCGUUGUCCGGAAUUAUUGGGCGUAAAGAGCUCGUAGGUCGUUUGUUACGUCGGAUGUGAAAACCUGAGGCUCAACCUCAGGCCUGCAUUCGAUACGGGCAAACUAGAGUUUGGUAGGGGAGACUGGAAUUCCUGGUGUAGCGGUGGAAUGCGCAGAUAUCAGGAGGAACACCAAUGGCGAAGGCAGGUCUCUGGGCCAAUACUGACACUGAGGAGCGAAAGUCUGGGGAGCGAACAGGAUUAGAUACCCUGGUAGUCCAGACCGUAAACGGUGGGCACUAGUUGUGGGAACCUUCCACGGUUUCUGCGACGCAGCUAACGCAUUAAGUGCCCCGCCUGGGGAGUACGAGCGCGAGAGUAAACUACGAAAGAAGUAGUAACGGCGUGAGAGUGCGAGGACGACGACGAGGGAGGAGG
Molecule: ribosomal RNA, 604 nt
Filed under: uncultured bacterium
Lineage: Bacteria
Description: bacterial SSU rRNA
Rfam family: Bacterial small subunit ribosomal RNA
Source: RNAcentral